Helianthus annuus (common sunflower) is the source of this 433-nucleotide long non-coding RNA. RefSeq lists it as uncharacterized. Lineage: Eukaryota; Viridiplantae; Streptophyta; Magnoliopsida; Asterales; Asteraceae. The record is from RefSeq and is a predicted model, not a curated record. The transcript has 3 exons.
GGGUAAAUAAGUAUCGAACUUCAUUGCUAUCAUCAAAUGUUGAAGCAUUGCUAUGCACACGUGAUUGGUUAUUUGAUUUAAAAGAUGAAAACGAGAACGAAAUGGAUGAAGAUCUUGUUGAAGACAUUGAAGCAUUGAUUCCAACUUUUGGCAACUUUUAGGGAUUUUAAAGGAAGCAUCCGUGAAGAAGUGCAAUUCGUCAAGACGUUUUGUAUGUUAUUGAAUCAGAUCUUUUGUAAGUGCAAGGAACCGAACUAGAUCUUUUGUAAUUUUCAGUUUACUUAACGGUUUGCAACUUUAGUUUUAUGAUUCUGGUUAGAUUUUUUGUUGUUUAUUUGGGGGUGAUAUUCAAUUUGAGCAAGUGGGGUUUAGUUUGUUUGUGAAAAGAUUCAAUCUUUGUGAAUGAUUUGAAGAUACUCAUUGUUCUGCAGCA